RNAcentral lists this ribosomal RNA (459 nucleotides) under uncultured bacterium. Its description in RNAcentral is "partial 16S ribosomal RNA". It matches the Rfam family "Bacterial small subunit ribosomal RNA", at positions 338 to 795 of the family's 1533-position model. The record is from RNAcentral.
CCUACGGGUGGCAGCAGUGAGGAAUAUUGGUCAAUGGCCGAGAGGCUGAACCAGCCAAGUAGCGUGCGGGAAGACGGCCCUACGGGUUGUAAACCUCUUUUGUCGGGGGGCAAAACGAGUCACGUGUGACUCAUUGUGAGUACCCGAAGAAAAAGCAUCGGCUAACUCCGUGCCAGCAGCCGCGGUAAUACGGAGGAUGCGAGCGUUAUCCGGAUUUAUUGGGUUUAAAGGGUGCGAAGGCGGAGGUUAAAGGGAGCGGUAAAAUUGCGGGGCUCAACCCCGUACUGCGGUUGAAACUGGAUGCCUUGAGUGCGCGAGAAGUAUGCGGAAUGCGUGGUGUAGCGGUGAAAUGCUUAGAUAUCACGCAGAACUCCGAUUGCGAAGGCAGCAUACGGGCGCGCAACUGACGCUGAUGCACGAAGGCGUGGGUAUCGAACAGGAUUAGAUACCCGAGUAGUC